Molecule: ribosomal RNA, 427 nt
Filed under: uncultured bacterium
Lineage: Bacteria
Description: bacterial SSU rRNA
Rfam family: Bacterial small subunit ribosomal RNA
Source: RNAcentral
UGGGGAAUAUUGGACAAUGGGCGCAAGCCUGAUCCAGCCAUACCGCGUGGGUGAAGAAGGCCUUCGGGUUGUAAAGCCCUUUUGUUGGGAAAGAAAAGCGACCGGCCAAUACCCGGUUGUUCUGACGGUACCCAAAGAAUAAGCACCGGCUAACUUCGUGCCAGCAGCCGCGGUAAUACGAAGGGUGCAAGCGUUACUCGGAAUUACUGGGCGUAAAGCGUGCGUAGGUGGUGGUUUAAGUCUGCUGUGAAAGCCCUGGGCUCAACCUGGGAGUUGCGGUGGAUACUGGAUCACUAGAGUGUGGUAGAGGGAUGCGGAAUUUCUGGUGUAGCAGUGAAAUGCGUAGAGAUCAGAAGGAACAUCCGUGGCGAAGGCGGCAUCCUGGGCCAACACUGACACUGAGGCACGAAAGCGUGGGGAGCAAACA